GAUGAACGCUGGCGGCGUGCCUAAUACAUGCAAGUCGAGCGAACGGACGAGAAGCUUGCUUUUCUGAUGUUAGCGGCGGACGGGUGAGUAACACGUGGAUAACCUACCUAUAAGACUGGGAUAACUUCGGGAAACCGGAGCUAAUACCGGAUAAUAUUUUGAACCGCAUGGUUCAAAAGUGAAAGACGGUCUUGCUGUCACUUAUAGAUGGAUCCGCGCUGCAUUAGCUAGUUGGUAAGGUAACGGCUUACCAAGGCAACGAUGCGUAGCCGACCUGAGAGGGUGAUCGGCCACACUGGAACUGAGACACGGUCCAGACUCCUACGGGAGGCAGCAGUAGGGAAUCUUCCGCAAUGGGCGAAAGCCUGACGGAGCAACGCCGCGUGAGUGAUGAAGGUCUUCGGAUCGUAAAACUCUGUUAUUAGGGAAGAACAUAUGUGUAAGUAACUGUGUACAUCUUGACGGUACCUAAUCAGAAAGCCACGGCUAACUACGUG
Molecule: ribosomal RNA, 497 nt
Filed under: uncultured bacterium
Lineage: Bacteria
Description: partial 16S ribosomal RNA
Rfam family: Bacterial small subunit ribosomal RNA
Source: RNAcentral